Molecule: ribosomal RNA, 618 nt
Filed under: Staphylococcus aureus
Lineage: Bacteria; Bacillati; Bacillota; Bacilli; Caryophanales; Staphylococcaceae
Description: bacterial SSU rRNA
Rfam family: Bacterial small subunit ribosomal RNA
Source: RNAcentral
GACGGUCUUGCUGUCACUUAUAGAUGGAUCCGCGCUGCAUUAGCUAGUUGGUAAGGUAACGGCUUACCAAGGCAACGAUGCAUAGCCGACCUGAGAGGGUGAUCGGCCACACUGGAACUGAGACACGGUCCAGACUCCUACGGGAGGCAGCAGUAGGGAAUCUUCCGCAAUGGGCGAAAGCCUGACGGAGCAACGCCGCGUGAGUGAUGAAGGUCUUCGGAUCGUAAAACUCUGUUAUUAGGGAAGAACAUAUGUGUAAGUAACUGUGCACAUCUUGACGGUACCUAAUCAGAAAGCCACGGCUAACUACGUGCCAGCAGCCGCGGUAAUACGUAGGUGGCAAGCGUUAUCCGGAAUUAUUGGGCGUAAAGCGCGCGUAGGCGGUUUUUUAAGUCUGAUGUGAAAGCCCACGGCUCAACCGUGGAGGGUCAUUGGAAACUGGAAAACUUGAGUGCAGAAGAGGAAAGUGGAAUUCCAUGUGUAGCGGUGAAAUGCGCAGAGAUAUGGAGGAACACCAGUGGCGAAGGCGACUUUCUGGUCUGUAACUGACGCUGAUGUGCGAAAGCGUGGGGAUCAAACAGGAUUAGAUACCCUGGUAGUCCACGCCGUAAACGAUGA